AGGACGUUAAGAGUUUGUUGUGAUCAGCAAGAAACUUAUCGGUAGAUAUUACCGUUUUUGAGUCUUCGCGAAGAAUAGGUGUUUGAGAAGAUGUUAGUAUGUAUGACUGUUUGGCCUUCCAAGAAGGUGCCUUUAUCGAGGAAGGUAAUUUUGUCUAAAAAUGGUUCUUCAGGCGUCUGCGACGUCUCGCAAUGCUGAAGAUUGAUUUUUUCUUUCGUAUGCCGCGUUUCGUGGUCGAAAUGUUCGCGGGCUUGAAGAUGUUUCGCGAUAUUGCAAGGUUUUAGUCUUAACCCUGCGUUUGAGAAACAUUCAGGUUUGUCUACAGAUGUUCGCAGCCAAAAUUGUUGUUCCUGUUUGGAUGCUAAUAAUUUGAUUUGCGAUCGAGGAAUUAGGACCGAGGGGUCGCGAAAAUUUGUCCCUGGGAAGAAGUGUUUUCCUUCGUAGUGCUUUGUACUGUGUUGGCUUUGCGAGAUCGAUUUCGUGUACAUUUAAGGAUGUUUCGUAUAGCUCUAGAAGCUCUGUUACGAUUUUUUCUUACAUGCCGUAUUUUAUCGUGUAAAACAUAACUGGCUUUAAAGUUAUCGGUGGAACGUAUUAAACUUGGUCGAAUGUCGACAAGUUUAGGUUUUCCGUUAACCGUUUGGUUGUUAGGACUGAGUUUUGUUACGAAGAAUUUAUCAUAUGAUUUUCGACUAUGUGUUAUUCGAUAAUUAUACUGUCAUGAUAUCCUUGGGCUCUUUUCUUUGCAGAUGGGCUUGCUUCCGAGCUUUGGACCUUUGUUGGUUUGCUUACGGAUGAUUUCCCGAGAAGACGUUCUUGAUACGGCAUCGUCUUUGUUGAAUACUCAAAACGGCUAUGCGGCCCACGCGGUUUAAGUUAACCAUUGUUGUUUCGCACGGUCCAUUUGAAUUCUUCGAAAGACGUACUUUAGUGGUUUUAUCGUAAUUCUCCAACGGUAACAUCAACGGGACGUUGAACAUGACUGGCGGGUUAUCCGUAAGCGUUGCACUGACCGCUCCAUGCCGGCCCGGAAGAACGAGGAGCUGAUUGCCUCGUGGCGGCCCGGAGAGGCGAGGAACUGGUCGCCCAUGGCGACCGCGAGGAAGACGCCUGCCGGUCGCUCGUGGCGUCCGCUAGGGAGGCGACGCCGGUCGCCCGUGGCGACCGCGAGGGAGCCGACGCCGGUCGCCCGUGGCGACCGCGAGGGAGCCGACGCCGGUCGCCCGUGGCGACCGCGAGGGAGCCGACGCCGGUCGCCCGUGGCGACCGCGAGGGAGGCGACGCCGGUGGCCCGUGGCGACCGCGAGGGAGGCGACGCCGGUGGCCCGUGGCGACCGCGAGGGAGGCGACGCCGGUUGCCCGUGGCGACCGCGAGGGAGGCGACGCCGGUGGCCCGUGGCGACCGCGAGGGAGGAGACGCCGGUGGCCCGUGGCGACCGCGAGGGAGGCGACGCCGGUGGCCCGUGGCGACCGCGAGGAUGGCGUUCUCGGUCGCCGAGUCAACGGUCGCCCAUGGCGACCGCGAAGGCGGCGAGUCAACAAUCGCCCUGUGGCGCACGGAUUAAUCUUUGUAGGCUCGGGCCUGGUUGUUGCGUAUUAUCUUGAAACCUUGAUUGUUUCCCGAUCUUGUUCUGAACGUCUUUAUGAUCGAUCGUGCGAGUCGGAGGAUGCUUUGGUUAAGUUUAUCGCAGAUUUUCGAAGGCUGUUUUUUUUUCCGAAGGUUUUUGAAUGUUAAUCCUGUCGUGACCGGUUUUGACCCUAACAGAAUUUUUGACAUUGAUUCCGUCGUGACCGAUUUUGACCCCGACACGAAGCAUAGAAGCAAGUGAUGGAAAAGGAGACAUUACGGUAAUGGGUGUUAAAUUCAGCUAACUACGUUUACUCUGUUCAUCAUCGGGCAAUGGAAAGCUCAUAUUGGAGUUGUGUAGCACGAGGCGGAGUGAUAAACCGUGGGAGCUCCAUAGAUCUUACCGGAGUUAUUCCCAAUGUUAUUUGAUUAGUUUUUUCAGGUAAUUUGCUCGCUUUGUGAGACAGAACAAGACAUGAAUAUGACCUUUUGAAUACAAAUUUUAUUUGUGUAAAUAUGUUUCUUGAUGAUGACCAUUGUAUGUGAAAUUUUUCUGUAUGUGAGAUUAUUUUAUUGUUUUUUCUCUUUUAAAGUGGCAUAAUCAUUCUUGACUACAAUGCAAAGUGACUAGAAUGUGAAUUUCCAAGUGGAUACCAAGCAAGAAUCAUACCUCGGCGAAGUGGUGUCCUUAAAAUGUAAGAUUUUGGAAGGAGCCUAGGCUGAAAAGGCAGCCACAGAAUCUAACAAACCAGAAAAUUGUAAUGCAAAUGAUGGGAUCUAGGAAGGAGAGCUCCCUAGAUCUUUUGAGGGAAGCACGUUGAAAAGGUAAUAGGUGCUGCAGUGGCUGAUGGGACAGUUACUCCAAAAGUUCAAUCGUUGAUCAAACAACUCCUCAAGUAUCAGGAUCAGCACACUUUCAUGCUAUUUAUUUGAUGAGAAUUUGCUUGGUUCUUCUAAAGGUUAGGAUGAAAGUGAAAAGAAAUUUGAUAGUGUUGAUUACAUGAUACAUCUUUACUGUGAGUAUUUCUGAGCUUGGAUUUCUUUUCAGGUUUCGACAGUUGCCUUCUCUUAGUUUUAUACGGUGCGCCAGCAAGAUUGGGCACAAUAACAGCCCAAUCAUCUGAAAUAAAGAUAUUGGCAUGUAUGAAUAGUUGUCUUUGUUUCAUAUAGUUCUUUUGGAUAAACAUUAAGAAGUUUAUCUUUUCUUUUGACAAGUCUUUUUCUCUUUCGUAUGAUUGAUGACACUUUUUGUUGCCGCAUGCGUUACUAAGGAAGGUUUUGAUAUUAGACAAUGUAACUUCUCCAUGUGUUUUGAACUUGCAAAGACGGUGUUGGCAUACAUUCAGAACCAUUGGUAGGAAAAGAAAACAUGGAUCAGACUACGUACUCAUGGUUUGUGAGUUACAUAUGUUUUGUAAUCUAUAAGACAAAAGCUUUAAAAUCUACAAUUUUUGCAACAACUGGUUAGCAAAUCUAGACAAUCAAUCUAUCAUAUCUGUCAACACGUGUUGCUUGUAGAGAAAAUGUAUCUCACGCAGCAAGUCUUAAGGAAUGCUAAAAAUAUUGAGGAGACACUGCGGAAAAAGCAAUAAAAGGACUGAUAUUAGUCACCUAACACUAAAAGACACGUCAAGGAUAAUGGCUUAAUGUAUUUUAUUUAGAAUUUAGGCUUCAAAUCCAAUUAUAAUUUCAUGGCUAAUUUCGCUUUUAAAGAAAUCUUACAGUACUAAAAGGGGAUAUAAGCUCCAUUUUGUCUAUCCACCUAGAAUAAAAAAUUCAAAACCAAUCAAAGUGCACAUAAGCAAACAAUUAAAAAAACAAUAAUAGUAUAAAUAUGUAAAUCGACUCUAUUCUCUCUACGAUAUCCUUCUUCUCUUUUUCUACCCUUUGAAUUUCCCCGAUAAAAAAAAAAUAUAUGUAACCCUUUUAAUCUAUUCUUUUGGCUUCCCACGUUCAUUGUUACCCCGGAAAAAUCCAUCGUUUCGGCUUCGAUAUAGGUAUUAUAGAGUUAUUGUGUUUUAUCUUAUACUUAGCAUCAGAUCAAGUUAACAAAAAAAAAAUAGUGAUGUUACUAAGCUUCAGAUCAAGGUCGAUGAGAAUACCGGUCUAUUCGUCGAUGCUCGCUUCUAGACCUUUUUUUUCAUCGGUCGCCACUGAAUGGGUGAAAGGAAAAGCCAUGGAGGAAGUCCUGACCAUCAGAACACAUAAGUAGCCUGUGUUUGUCUCUUGCAAGUUACAAAUGUUGUUAUGAUCUGUCACAAACAUAUAAAAUAUUUUGUCACCAUGUUCGCGUUUCAAGGCAUUUUCGUAGUAUGUUUUCAGUCGUUGCAUUACAUGAACUUGGGGUUUCUAAUUGGUUCACUCUUUCACAUAAUACUAAAAGGGGGAUAUGAGCUCCAUUCAAUCUAUCCACCUAGGAUACAAAAUUCAAAAUCAAUCAAAGCUCCACCUAAGAAAACAAUUAAAAAACAAUAAUAGUAUAAAUAUGUAAAUCGACUCUAUUCUCUCUACGUUAUCCUUCUUCUCUUUCUCUACCCUUUGAAUUUCCCUGAUCAAAAAAACAUAUAUGUAACCCCUUUAAUAUCUUCUUUUGGCUUCCCACGUUCAAUGUUACCCCGGAAAAAUCCAUCGUCUCGGCUUCGAUAUAGCUAUUAUAGAGUUAAUGUGUUUUAUCUUAUACUUGGCAUCAUAUCAAGUUAACAAAAAAAAAUAGUGAUGUUACUAAGCUUCAGAUCAAGGUCGAUGAGAAUACCGGUCUAUUCGUCGAUGCUCGCUUCUAGACCUUUGUUUUCAUCGAUCGGUAUGUCCAUUCUCUUACUUUUAGAGGCAAGUAGAUAUAUAUAUGGUGACAUUCAAUCGUAAAUUUAAAAACUUUGUGUUUGCCAAAAACAAAUUUCUUAAAUAUUUUCCCUUUUAUGUGAUAUGUCCUAUGUUUGCGAUGCGAUCUUCAUAUGAAAACGAAAAGAUUCUGGUUAGAGGUUAGAUUUUUGUGUGAAUAGUAACGUUGCAGUUUUGUAAUGUAGAUUGAUUUAAUGUUCUCAGCCACUGAAUGGGUGAAAGGCAAAGCCAUGGAGGAAGUCUUGACCAUCAGAACACAUAAGUAGCCUUUGUUUGUCUCUUGCAAGUUACAAAUGUUGUUAUGAUCUGUCACAGACACUACAAUAUAUAAAAUAUUUUGUCACCAUGUUCGCAUUUCAAGGCAUUUUGGUAGUAUGUUUUCAGUCGUUGCAUUACAUGAGCUUGGGGUGUCUAAUUGGUUCACUCUUUCACUGUAGACAAUUCACAUGCCA
Molecule: long non-coding RNA, 4857 nt
Organism: Brassica napus (rape)
Lineage: Eukaryota; Viridiplantae; Streptophyta; Magnoliopsida; Brassicales; Brassicaceae
Exons: 2
Source: RefSeq, a predicted model, not a curated record